GGCUGGUCCGAUGGCAGUGGAUUAUCAGAACUUAUUAACAUCAGUGUCACUAAAGUUGGUAUACCAUACCCCCCCCACUCUAAAUUUGACUGGCUUAAA
This 99-nucleotide Y RNA is filed under the name Cavia aperea (Brazilian guinea pig). RNAcentral's name for it is "Y RNA (ENSCAPG00000004512.1)". It matches the Rfam family "Y RNA". Rfam says of the family: Y RNAs are components of the Ro ribonucleoprotein particle (Ro RNP), in association with Ro60 and La proteins. The Y RNAs and Ro60 and La proteins are well conserved, but the function of the Ro RNP is not known. Lineage: Eukaryota; Metazoa; Chordata; Mammalia; Rodentia; Caviidae. The record is from RNAcentral.